This 281-nucleotide small RNA is filed under the name human gut metagenome. RNAcentral's name for it is "5' ureB small RNA". The record is from RNAcentral.
UGCAGGCGAUUCGAAGUGAACAUGCACAUCUAUUCCGCCCGGAGUAAUCACAAGGCCUUCCGCAGAAACAACCUCUGUGGCGCAGCCUAUUAUCAGGCCCGGCGUUAUAUUCAUUGUAUCAGGGUUUCCUGCCUUACCUACUCCUACGACCACUCCAUCCUUGAUGCCGAUAUCUCCCUUUACGAUACCGAUCAUCGGGUCAAUUAUAACAGCAUUGGUGACGCAUACAUCCAGAACACCGUCUUCGGUCGUUUUGCCUGCCAUGUUUCCCAUUCCGUCUC